Molecule: long non-coding RNA, 1134 nt
Organism: Rosa rugosa (rugosa rose)
Lineage: Eukaryota; Viridiplantae; Streptophyta; Magnoliopsida; Rosales; Rosaceae
Exons: 4
Source: RefSeq, a predicted model, not a curated record
GAGCCUUCUCCUUUCUCUCUCCCCGAUUCUCUCUUCCUCUCCGACCUCGUCACCUUCUUCCGGCCAUAACUCCUCCAUCCGGCGACGGAUUUUGACGUAUAAGAUGUCGUUGGAAAGCUCUCUUCCUUCUCUUCAUUUCUGGGUUCGUUUCGUAGCUUAAUAUGAACUGUGGAAGGUGCAGCAACGAGAAGAAGAGGACGGCUACUGUAGCCGAUCGGAACUUUCAUCGAUUUCCGGCGAUUCCGGCCGUUUCCAGCCACCAAAUUGGCAUCGAAGGGUUCUUGAGAAAUUUCUGGGCUUGUGUUCAUCGGCCGAAUUGGAGCUCUUUCAGGACGUUGUUGCGAGCUAUGGCUAGAUGAAGGAACGUGUUUGUGUGAUCGCCAAUAGUACUUUUGCAGGCGCUAUUAGUUGAGGUCGGGCGUACAUGGUUCGAGGCAUAGUUGAUGAAUUGCUUCCGCACUUCUUUGUUUGGCUCUGACCUAUCGUGGGUUACUGUUUUGGGUAGUCCACUUUAGUGGUGACUUGACCAGUUCCCGGUAGAGUUAUCUCUAAGGUGGGCCCCGCAGGGCCACCUCGGAUUUCAGGGCGAAAUUCGGGGCGGGUCCUGUCAGUUUCAUAAGCAGCAUUACACGUGACCAGCGUGUUUGCAUGUCAACCAACAUCAUGAGAUAUUUAAACAUCCACAAGUUGGUUGAAUCAAUCCUGAGAAUCUCUACGGAUUCUAUGUAAGAACAUAAUGAGUAUUGUCAUAUCCUUUGCAUAGGACGGUCUCAGUCCUAAUUUUCCUAAGGAACAGGCUUUGUAAAAUGAGCGACAGGCCUUUAGAAUCAACCAAUGAGGAUUUUGGUCGGGCCUAAGUGUCUGUAAUGCUAUUAGAAGCAAAAUAUGUGACUACAUCUCCCAUCAUGGCAUUGGGGCCAUGGAAAUAGCAUGUAUGACGUUAUGGCCACUGGGAGGAACAACCAUGGCGUCAUGCCCAUGGUUGGCGCCACUUAUGGCGUCAUCACGAGGGACUUGGGCGGCCCUAUGGCGUCCCAAGACAGCUGCAGCACUAGAUGCUGCGGUGGCUACUGUCUUAUUUAGUCCUGGAAUCAAUUUUCGAUUCUAGCUUCUUCUCACUCUGAAGAAUGGGUA